Molecule: ribosomal RNA, 660 nt
Filed under: uncultured Alphaproteobacteria bacterium
Lineage: Bacteria; Pseudomonadati; Pseudomonadota; Alphaproteobacteria
Description: bacterial SSU rRNA
Rfam family: Bacterial small subunit ribosomal RNA
Source: RNAcentral
AGUUUGAUCAUGGCUCAGAACGAACGCUGGCGGCAGGCUUAACACAUGCAAGUCGAACGAAGUCUUCGGACUUAGUGGCAGACGGGUGAGUAACACGUGGGAAUCUACCUAUCGGUAAGGAACAGCACAUAGAAAUGUGUGCUAAUACCUUAUACGUCCUUCGGGAGAAAGAUUUAUCGCCGAUAGAUGAGCCCGCGCUUGAUUAGCUAGUUGGUGAGGUAAUGGCUCACCAAGGCGACGAUCAAUAGCUGGUCUGAGAGGAUGAUCAGCCACACUGGGACUGAGACACGGCCCAGACUCCUACGGGAGGCAGCAGUGGGGAAUAUUGGACAAUGGGCGCAAGCCUGAUCCAGCCAUGCCGCGUGAGUGAUGAAGGCCCUAGGGUUGUAAAGCUCUUUCAACGGUGAAGAUAAUGACGGUAACCGUAGAAGAAGCCCCGGCUAACUUCGUGCCAGCAGCCGCGGUAAUACGAAGGGGGCUAGCGUUGUUCGGAAUAACUGGGCGUAAAGCGCACGUAGGCGGAUUGGAAAGUUAGAGGUGAAAUCCCGGGGCUCAACCCCGGAACUGCCUUUAAAACUAUCAGUCUAGAGGUCGAGAGAGGUGAGUGGAAUUCCGAGUGUAGAGGUGAAAUUCGUAGAUAUUCGGAGGAACACCAGUGGC